UUCCCAAACCAAAUAACAUGUUUGGAAUGGACGAAACAAGGGCAUCAACUUGGAAUCAAUAGAUCGCCACAAAAUACUGCAUAAUUGAGCAUCAAUCUUAUCCCAAUGUGCUUUGGCUUUUUCAUCUCCGUCACUAGACUCCUUGGUGAGAUGAUCCUGAACACCUUGGCCUUUACACCACAACUCGACAGACGAAGCCCAAGCUAG
Molecule: long non-coding RNA, 207 nt
Filed under: Nicotiana benthamiana
Lineage: Eukaryota; Viridiplantae; Streptophyta; Magnoliopsida; Solanales; Solanaceae
Description: long non-coding RNA (NBEN_LNC022217)
Source: RNAcentral